GGCAGUCAGAGGCGAUGAAGGACGUGCUAAUCUGCGAUAAGCGUCGGUAAGGUGAUAUGAACCGUUAUAACCGGCGAUUUCCGAAUGGGGAAACCCAGUGUGAUUCGUCACACUAUCAUUAACUGAAUCCAUAGGUUAAUGAGGCGAACCGGGGGAACUGAAACAUCUAAGUACCCCGAGGAAAAGAAAUCAACCGAGAUUCCCCCAGUAGCGGCGAGCGAACGGGGAGCAGCCCAGAGCCUGAAUCAGUGUGUGUGUUAGUGGAAGCGUCUGGAAAGGCGCGCGAUACAGGGUGACAGCCCCGUACACAAAAAUGCACAUGCUGUGAGCUCGAUGAGUAGGGCGGGACACGUGGUAUCCUGUCUGAAUAUGGGGGGACCAUCCUCCAAGGCUAAAUACUCCUGACUGACCGAUAGUGAACCAGUACCGUGAGGGAAAGGCGAAAAGAACCCCGGCGAGGGGAGUGAAAAAGAACCUGAAACCGUGUACGUACAAGCAGUGGGAGCCUCUUUAUGGGGUGACUGCGUACCUUUUGUAUAAUGGGUCAGCGACUUAUAUUCUGUAGCAAGGUUAACCGAAUAGGGGAGCCGAAGGGAAACCGAGUCUUAACUGGGCGUUAAGUUGCAGGGUAUAGACCCGAAACCCGGUGAUCUAGCCAUGGGCAGGUUGAAGGUUGGGUAACACUAACUGGAGGACCGAACCGACUAAUGUUGAAAAAUUAGCGGAUGACUUGUGGCUGGGGGUGAAAGGCCAAUCAAACCGGGAGAUAGCUGGUUCUCCCCGAAAGCUAUUUAGGUAGCGCCUCGUGAACUCAUCUCCGGGGGUAGAGCACUGUUUCGGCAAGGGGGUCAUCCCGACUUACCAACCCGAUGCAAACUGCGAAUACCGGAGAAUGUUAUCACGGGAGACACACGGCGGGUGCUAACGUCCGUCGUGAAGAGGGAAACAACCCAGACCGCCAGCUAAGGUCCCAAAGUCAUGGUUAAGUGGGAAACGAUGUGGGAAGGCCCAGACAGCCAGGAUGUUGGCUUAGAAGCAGCCAUCAUUUAAAGAAAGCGUAAUAGCUCACUGGUCGAGUCGGCCUGCGCGGAAGAUGUAACGGGGCUAAACCAUGCACCGAAGCUGCGGCAGCGACGCUGAUGCGUUGUUGGGUAGGGGAGCGUUCUGUAAGCCUGUGAAGGUGUGCUGUGAGGCAUGCUGGAGGUAUCAGAAGUGCGAAUGCUGACAUAAGUAACGAUAAAGCGGGUGAAAAGCCCGCUCGCCGGAAGACCAAGGGUUCCUGUCCAACGUUAAUCGGGGCAGGGUGAGUCGACCCCUAAGGCGAGGCCGAAAGGCGUAGUCGAUGGGAAACAGGUUAAUAUUCCUGUACUUGGUGUUACUGCGAAGGGGGGACGGAGAAGGCUAUGUUGGCCGGGCGACGGUUGUCCCGGUUUAAGCGUGUAGGCUGGUUUUCCAGGCAAAUCCGGAAAAUCAAGGCUGAGGCGUGAUGACGAGGCACUACGGUGCUGAAGCAACAAAUGCCCUGCUUCCAGGAAAAGCCUCUAAGCAUCAGGUAACAUCAAAUCGUACCCCAAACCGACACAGGUGGUCAGGUAGAGAAUACCAAGGCGCUUGAGAGAACUCGGGUGAAGGAACUAGGCAAAAUGGUGCCGUAACUUCGGGAGAAGGCACGCUGAUAUGUAGGUGAAGUCCCUCGCGGAUGGAGCUGAAAUCAGUCGAAGAUACCAGCUGGCUGCAACUGUUUAUUAAAAACACAGCACUGUGCAAACACGAAAGUGGACGUAUACGGUGUGACGCCUGCCCGGUGCCGGAAGGUUAAUUGAUGGGGUCAGCGCAAGCGAAGCUCUUGAUCGAAGCCCCGGUAAACGGCGGCCGUAACUAUAACGGUCCUAAGGUAGCGAAAUUCCUUGUCGGGUAAGUUCCGACCUGCACGAAUGGCGUAAUGAUGGCCAGGCUGUCUCCACCCGAGACUCAGUGAAAUUGAACUCGCUGUGAAGAUGCAGUGUACCCGCGGCAAGACGGAAAGACCCCGUGAACCUUUACUAUAGCUUGACACUGAACAUUGAGCCUUGAUGUGUAGGAUAGGUGGGAGGCUUAGAAGUGUGGACGCCAGUCUGCAUGGAGCCGACCUUGAAAUACCACCCUUUAAUGUUUGAUGUUCUAACGUUGACCCGUAAUCCGGGUUGCGGACAGUGUCUGGUGGGUAGUUUGACUGGGGCGGUCUCCUCCUAAAGAGUAACGGAGGAGCACGAAGGUUGGCUAAUCCUGGUCGGACAUCAGGAGGUUAGUGCAAUGGCAUAAGCCAGCUUGACUGCGAGCGUGACGGCGCGAGCAGGUGCGAAAGCAGGUCAUAGUGAUCCGGUGGUUCUGAAUGGAAGGGCCAUCGCUCAACGGAUAAAAGGUACUCCGGGGAUAACAGGCUGAUACCGCCCAAGAGUUCAUAUCGACGGCGGUGUUUGGCACCUCGAUGUCGGCUCAUCACAUCCUGGGGCUGAAGUAGGUCCCAAGGGUAUGGCUGUUCGCCAUUUAAAGUGGUACGCGAGCUGGGUUUAGAACGUCGUGAGACAGUUCGGUCCCUAUCUGCCGUGGGCGCUGGAGAACUGAGGGGGGCUGCUCCUAGUACGAGAGGACCGGAGUGGACGCAUCACUGGUGUUCGGGUUGUCAUGCCAAUGGCACUGCCCGGUAGCUAAAUGCGGAAGAGAUAAGUGCUGAAAGCAUCUAAGCACGAAACUUGCCCCGAGAUGAGUUCUCCCUGACUCCUUGAGAGUCCUGAAGGAACGUUGAAGACGACGACGUUGAUAGGCCGGGUGUGUAAGCGCAGCGAUGCGUUGAGCUGACCGGUACUAAUGAACCGUGAGGCUUAACCU
Molecule: ribosomal RNA, 2868 nt
Filed under: Escherichia coli 2-210-07_S4_C1
Lineage: Bacteria; Pseudomonadati; Pseudomonadota; Gammaproteobacteria; Enterobacterales; Enterobacteriaceae
Description: bacterial LSU rRNA
Rfam family: Bacterial large subunit ribosomal RNA
Source: RNAcentral